GACGGAGGGUGCUAGCGUUGUUCGGAAUCACUGGGCGUAAAGGGCGCGUAGGCGGCUUCAGGUGUCGGAUGUGAAAGCCCGGGGCUCAACCCCGGAGGUGCAUCCGAAACUCUGGAGCUGGAGGCCGGAAGAGGAGGGUGGAAUACCCAGUGUAGAGGUGAAAUUCGUAGAUAUUGGGUGGAACACCGGUGGCGAAAGCGGCUCUCUGGUCCGGUCCUGACGCUGAGGCGACGAAAGCGUGGGGAGCAAACAGG
Molecule: ribosomal RNA, 254 nt
Filed under: uncultured bacterium
Lineage: Bacteria
Description: partial 16S ribosomal RNA
Rfam family: Bacterial small subunit ribosomal RNA
Source: RNAcentral